GGUUAAGCGACUAAGCGUACACGGUGGAUGCCCGGCAGUCAGAGGCGAUGAAGGACGUGCUAAUCUGCGAAAAGCGUCGGUAAGGUGAUAUGAACCGUUAUAACCGGCGAUGUCCGAAUGGGGAAACCCAGUGCAAUUCGUUGCACUAUCGUUAACUGAAUACAUAGGUUAACGAGGCGAACCGGGGGAACUGAAACAUCUAAGUACCCCGAGGAAAAGAAAUCAACCGAGAUUCCCCCAGUAGCGGCGAGCGAACGGGGAGCAGCCCAGAGUCUGAAUCAGCUUGUGUGUUAGUGGAACGGUCUGGAAAGUCCGACGGUACAGGGUGAUAGUCCCGUACACCAAAAUGCACAGGUUGUGAACUCGAAGAGUAGGGCGGGACACGUGGUAUCCUGUCUGAAUAUGGGGGACCAUCCUCCAAGGCUAAAUACUCCUGACUGACCGAUAGUGAACCAGUACCGUGAGGGAAAGGCGAAAAGAACCCCGGCGAGGGGAGUGAAAAAGAACCUGAAACCGUGUACGUACAAGCAGUGGGAGCACCUUCGGGUGUGACUGCGUACCUUUUGUAUAAUGGGUCAGCGACUUAUAUUCUGUAGCAAGGUUAACCGUAUAGGGGAGCCGCAGGGAAACCGAGUCUUAACUGGGCGUUAAGUUGCAGGGUAUAGACCCGAAACCCGGUGAUCUAGCCAUGGGCAGGUUGAAGGUUGGGUAACACUAACUGGAGGACCGAACCGACUAAUGUUGAAAAAUUAGCGGAUGACUUGUGGCUGGGGGUGAAAGGCCAAUCAAACCGGGAGAUAGCUGGUUCUCCCCGAAAGCUAUUUAGGUAGCGCCUCGUGAACUCAUCUUCGGGGGUAGAGCACUGUUUCGGCUAGGGGGUCAUCCCGACUUACCAACCCGAUGCAAACUACGAAUACCGAAGAAUGUUAUCACGGGAGACACACGGCGGGUGCUAACGUCCGUCGUGAAGAGGGAAACAACCCAGACCGCCAGCUAAGGUCCCAAAGUCAUGGUUAAGUGGGAAACGAUGUGGGAAGGCACAGACAGCCAGGAUGUUGGCUUAGAAGCAGCCAUCAUUUAAAGAAAGCGUAAUAGCUCACUGGUCGAGUCGGCCUGCGCGGAAGAUGUAACGGGGCUAAACCAUGCACCGAAGCUGCGGCAGCGACACUAUGUGUUGUUGGGUAGGGGAGCGUUCUGUAAGCCUGCGAAGGUGACCUGUGAGGGUUGCUGGAGGUAUCAGAAGUGCGAAUGCUGACAUAAGUAACGAUAAAGCGGGUGAAAAGCCCGCUCGCCGGAAGACCAAGGGUUCCUGUCCAACGUUAAUCGGGGCAGGGUGAGUCGACCCCUAAGGCGAGGCCGAAAGGCGUAGUCGAUGGGAAACAGGUUAAUAUUCCUGUACUUGGUGUUACUGCGAAGGGGGACGGAGAAGGCUAUGUUAGCCGGGCGACGGUUGUCCCGGUUUAAGCAUGUAGGCUGGUUGUCCAGGCAAAUCCGGAUAAUCAAGGCUGAGGUGUGAUGACGAGGCACUACGGUGCUGAAGUAACAAAUGCCCUGCUUCCAGGAAAAGCCUCUAAGCAUCAGGUAACAUUAAAUCGUACCCCAAACCGACACAGGUGGUCAGGUAGAGAAUACCAAGGCGCUUGAGAGAACUCGGGUGAAGGAACUAGGCAAAAUGGUGCCGUAACUUCGGGAGAAGGCACGCUGGUGUGUAGGUGAAGCCCCUGCGGGUGGAGCUGAGACCAGUCGAAGAUACCAGCUGGCUGCAACUGUUUAUUAAAAACACAGCACUGUGCAAACACGAAAGUGGACGUAUACGGUGUGACGCCUGCCCGGUGCCGGAAGGUUAAUUGAUGGGGUUAUCCGUAAGGAGAAGCUCUUGAUCGAAGCCCCGGUAAACGGCGGCCGUAACUAUAACGGUCCUAAGGUAGCGAAAUUCCUUGUCGGGUAAGUUCCGACCUGCACGAAUGGCGUAAUGAUGGCCAGGCUGUCUCCACCCGAGACUCAGUGAAAUUGAACUCGCUGUGAAGAUGCAGUGUACCCGCGGCAAGACGGAAAGACCCCGUGAACCUUUACUAUAGCUUGACACUGAACAUUGAGCCUUGAUGUGUAGGAUAGGUGGGAGGCUUUGAAGCGUGGACGCCAGUCUGCGUGGAGCCAACCUUGAAAUACCACCCUUUAAUGUUUGAUGUUCUAACGUUGGCCCCUUACCGGGGUUGCGGACAGUGUCUGGUGGGUAGUUUGACUGGGGCGGUCUCCUCCUAAAGCGUAACGGAGGAGCACGAAGGUUAGCUAAUCCUGGUCGGACAUCAGGAGGUUAGUGCAAUGGCAUAAGCUAGCUUGACUGCGAGCGUGACGGCGCGAGCAGGUGCGAAAGCAGGUCAUAGUGAUCCGGUGGUUCUGAAUGGAAGGGCCAUCGCUCAACGGAUAAAAGGUACUCCGGGGAUAACAGGCUGAUACCGCCCAAGAGUUCAUAUCGACGGCGGUGUUUGGCACCUCGAUGUCGGCUCAUCACAUCCUGGGGCUGAAGUAGGUCCCAAGGGUAUGGCUGUUCGCCAUUUAAAGUGGUACGCGAGCUGGGUUUAGAACGUCGUGAGACAGUUCGGUCCCUAUCUGCCGUGGGCGCUGGAGAAUUGAGGGGGCUGCUCCUAGUACGAGAGGACCGGAGUGGACGCAUCACUGGUGUUCGGGUUGUCAUGCCAAUGGCACUGCCCGGUAGCUAAAUGCGGAAGAGAUAAGUGCUGAAAGCAUCUAAGCACGAAACUUGCCCCGAGAUGAGUUCUCCCUGAGACUUUAAGUCUCCUGAAGGAACGUUGAAGACGACGACGUUGAUAGGCCGGGUGUGUAAGCGCAGCGAUGCGUUGAGCUAACCGGUACUAAUGAACCGUGAGGCUUAACCUU
RNAcentral lists this ribosomal RNA (2898 nucleotides) under Klebsiella pneumoniae. RNAcentral's name for it is "23S ribosomal RNA". It matches the Rfam family "Bacterial large subunit ribosomal RNA". The record is from RNAcentral. Lineage: Bacteria; Pseudomonadati; Pseudomonadota; Gammaproteobacteria; Enterobacterales; Enterobacteriaceae.